Cajanus cajan (pigeon pea) is the source of this 2184-nucleotide RNA transcript. It is a transcript of the gene named casein kinase 1-like protein 3, with no coding region annotated. Lineage: Eukaryota; Viridiplantae; Streptophyta; Magnoliopsida; Fabales; Fabaceae. The record is from RefSeq and is a predicted model, not a curated record.
AAUUUGGAAUACACGAUUACCUGGAAAUGGAAAUGGAGUGAAAGGACAAAAGUACCCUGUGUGCGUAUUUGUUUGUUCUCUCCUCAGCCAGUGAUUUCGGUGUUGUUGCUGUGAGAUCGUUCGUGUUCUUGUAGCGCAGUUGAUAGGGUUAAGGCCAUGGAGCGCAUCAUCGGCACCAAGUACAAGCUAGGUCGCAAGAUCGGAAGCGGAUCCUUCGGUGAAAUUUAUCUCGCGACGCAUAUGGAUACCUUUGAGAUCGUCGCCGUCAAGAUUGAGAACGGUAAAACGAAGCACCCGCAAUUGCUUUACGAGGCCAAGCUCUACAAUAUUCUACAAGGAGGAAGUGGCAUCCCGAGCAUAAAAUGGUGUGGUGUAGACGGGGAGGAAAAUGUGCUUGUUAUGGAUUUGCUGGGACCUAGUCUUGAGGAUCUCUUUGUCUAUUGUGGAAGAAAGUUCUCCCUCAAAACCGUGUUGAUGUUGGCCGAUCAAAUGAUGAGUAGGAUAGAAUAUGUGCAUUCUAAAGGAUUUCUACACAGGGAUAUAAAACCUGACAACUUCCUCAUGGGGCUUGGUCGGAAGGCAAACCAGGUUUACAUAAUUGAUUUUGGGCUUGCAAAACGAUAUAGGGACUCCACAACUAAUCGCCACAUUCCUUACAGAGAGAACAAAAACUUAACAGGGACUGCACGCUAUGCAAGUUGCAAUACUCAUCUUGGGAUUGAGCAAAGUCGACGGGAUGAUUUGGAGUCACUUGGGUAUGUGCUUCUCUAUUUCCUCAGAGGAAGCCUUCCUUGGCAAAACCUAAAGGCAGCAACAAAGAAGCAAAAGUAUGAUAAAAUAUGUGAGAAGAAAGUAUCAACUCCUAUUGAGGUUUUAUGCAAGUCUCAUCCUGUAGAGUUUGCUUCAUACUUUCAUUACUGUCAUUCUCUGACCUUUGAUCAGCGACCUGAUUAUGGAUUCUUGAAGCGCUUAUUUCGGGACCUAUUUGCUCGAGAAGGUUAUGACUUUGAUUAUGUAUUUGAUUGGACUAUUUUAAAGUACCAGCAGGCACAAAAGAAUAGAGUUCAGCCUUGCAUAUCAACGGCCCCCGGAGCAAGCAACAGUCCUGCAAUACCAAUGGAUGUGGACAACCAUCAGGGUUUUAAUGUUUAUUCAGGGGAUAUCUCAGCAGAACGCACUAAAUCAGGCAAUGUUACUGGUUCUGGUGUUAAAAUUCAGUUUAAAUCACCCGUUGGUAAAAAUUUGGGUUCUGAAAAGCCUCUUGACAAGAAUAUUUUUGGUGAAGCAAAUAUACCCUCUACCUCAUACUCUUUUGCUGACAACUUAAAAAGGAAUUCCUUGAAGCCUGCCUUGUCCACUGAAGCCCCUGGACAUGGGCAGGGAAGUAAUAAAAUUGGCCCUUCAAGUAGCUGGAUUUCAUCUCUGCAGCGCAUGUCUUCUGCCAAAUGAAUGUCCAAUAUGGUUUGAUUCUGAUCAAGAAGAUUCCUGUAUACAUUCGGGAAGCUGCAAAUUCAUUUGAUUUGCUUGCUUCAACUUUACAUUUUUGGUCAAGAAUUCUAAAAGUGAUAUAUCCAUGGAGGCUGCAUAUGUGCUGCAAGGUUGAUAAAUUUCAAAGCUCAUCUUCUGUUGCUUUUCUUCCUAAGAGAAUAUAACUAUAUCAAAUCAGAGGCAGAAUAUUGGCGGAAUGAUCCCUGAAUUAAUGGUUUCUUAAGAGACAUCAAAGGAUUUCUUUUCUCAACCUAUAGUCUCAAGGAUGAAAUAUGACUGACAGUUAUAUUUAUAUGGAUGACAUUAUCAACUGGAACAUACCUCUCGAUACAGGUUGGAUUGCCAUAGCACUUUGGGAAUACUUCAGCUUUGUGACAAGCUUGAAAUAAGAAUUGCUUUUAAUAUGGAUGUUGGUUAGCAAUGAUCUUUGAAGAUCUAUGAUUUAUGUGAUUCUAACCAACAUUUCUGUGAAGUUGACUAUUCAUUAUUUCAGUUGAUGGUCAUGAUCUGUGAUCGAUGAUUUUGUUGCUGAUGAUAAGUAGGUCUUUCAAAGGAAAAAAUAUAUAAUAGAAAACACUGCACAUGAAGGAAGCUCACUUUCAUAUAUUUGAAACUAUUUGGUACUUCCAUGGUCCAUAUCCUUUCCAUGUGUACAAGUUUAGUUCAAUAAGAUUGGCAUCACAUUUUUUUUACUAA